CAAUGCCCGAAAGGGUGACGAAGCGACGCCGCGUGCGGGAGGAAGGCCUUCGGGUUGUAAACCGCUGUCGGGAGUUAAGAAAUGCAAGGAUGUUAAUAGCGUUCUUGCUUGACUAAGGCUCCGGAGGAAGCCACGGCUAACUCUGUGCCAGCAGCCGCGGUAAUACAGAGGCGGCAAGCGUUGUUCGGAAUUAUUGGGCGUAAAGAGCACGUAGGCGGCUGUGUAAGUCGGUUGUGAAAGCCUUCCGCUCAACGGAAGAACGGCAUCCGAUACUGCAUGGCUUGAGUGUGGGAGGGGAGAGUGGAACUCCUGGUGGAGCGGUGAAAUGCGUAGAUAUCAGAAGGAACACCGGCGGCGAAGGCGACUCUCUGGUCCAUAACUGACGCUGAGUGUGCGAAAGCUAGGGGAGCAAACGGGAUUAGAUACCCCGGUAGUCCUAGCCGUAAACGAUGGGCACU
RNAcentral lists this ribosomal RNA (458 nucleotides) under uncultured anaerobic ammonium-oxidizing bacterium. Its description in RNAcentral is "bacterial SSU rRNA". It matches the Rfam family "Bacterial small subunit ribosomal RNA", at positions 369 to 817 of the family's 1533-position model. The record is from RNAcentral.